ACUACAUGAAGCUGGAAUCGCUAGUAAUCGCGGAUCAGAAUGCCGCGGUGAAUACGUUCCCGGGUCUUGUACACACCGCCCGUCACACCAUGGGAGUCGGAAAUGCCCGAAGUCUGUGACCCAACCUACGGGAGGGAGCAGCCGAAGGCAGGUCGGAUGACUGGGGUGAAGUCGUAACAAGGUAAC
Molecule: ribosomal RNA, 186 nt
Filed under: uncultured bacterium
Lineage: Bacteria
Description: partial 16S ribosomal RNA
Rfam family: Bacterial small subunit ribosomal RNA
Source: RNAcentral